AGUCAAAGUUUUGGUAAAUUGCCGAAUUAAAACGUACACUAAAGUACGAAAAUAAUAGAAAAACAUUAAUUUUGGUCGACUUCCAAAAUUUUUAACACCAGGUUUUGACCACUCG
Molecule: non-coding RNA, 115 nt
Organism: Caenorhabditis elegans
Lineage: Eukaryota; Metazoa; Nematoda; Chromadorea; Rhabditida; Rhabditidae
Source: Ensembl